AAUCAACGCUGGCGGCGUGCCUAACACAUGCAAGUCGAACGAGAAAGUGACUUCGGUCACUGGACAGUGGCGUCCGGGUGAGUAACACGUGGGUAAUCUACCUUCGGGUGGGGAAUAACGUCUCGAAGAGACGCUAAUACCGCAUAAUGCAGCGGCACCUUAUGGUGAAUAGUUGUUAAAGCGGGGAGUCGCAAGACCUCGCGCCUGAAGAGGAGCCUGCGGCAGAUUAGCUAGUUGGUGAGGUAAUGGCUCACCAAGGCGUGCGAUCUGUAGCUGGUCUGAGAGGACGGCCAGCCACACUGGCACUGACACAC
RNAcentral lists this ribosomal RNA (314 nucleotides) under uncultured bacterium. RNAcentral's name for it is "bacterial SSU rRNA". It matches the Rfam family "Bacterial small subunit ribosomal RNA", at positions 32 to 327 of the family's 1533-position model. The record is from RNAcentral.